CAUGGGUCCACUGGGAGAGGGCAAAGUGAUCUCACAAUGAAGAUUGGGAGUGGACAGCCAGUCCAGUUGCCUGGCUGGAGACCCUGGCAAUGGCUUGAGGGGGCAGCCAGCAGGAGCCAAGGUAUGACUGAGUCAGCCAGGGGAGUGGUGCUGGGAGCAGAACUGAGCCAAAAGAACAGCUCAUGAAUUCAGACUUCAGCUUCAGGGAUCAUCAGGGUGCACAGCAAACUAGUACACAGGGCACUGCCCCAGAGACAACGACUAGAAGACACCAUGCUUAAGACCCUGCGUUCCCUUUCUCUGCCCAUAUCCUUAAUCUCCCUUACAGAGAAAGGCAAGAGAGGGGAAGUCUAUCUGAGAGGCAGAACUAUUCGAUUUAAUAGUCAACAUAAAAUACCAGAUUGGACUAAGCUUUAAACCAGAUUGGACAUUUCACUAUUUUUCACUGCUAGCCAGUGAUGCGGAGCUUAUGAGGAAGACUGUAACAGAUAUAGGCUAAGUAAAGAAGUCUUAUUUUUUCCAUACAUGAGUUGUUGUUAAGUUUCUUGGCCCUCCUCCCCCACAUACAUAUUCCAUGUGGACUGUAAGGGGAAAAGAAGGAGCGUGGCUUUCCAGGAAAGCAGGAGCUGGAGAGCAGAAGCGCCGGAGCAAGAAUGAACUUCCUGGAUUACUCAGAACGAAUGUCUCUGAGGCCACAGCAGUGGGAGUUUUGAUCCCGGAAAACACUGGAGUAAAUCUGAAUCUGCUUCGGAUUUUUCCUGAACCUGGUAUUUUCCUUCUGUGUCUUAUGAAGCUUCAAAAGGCAAGAGCUCUGAGGAAGUCGUGUUUGUAUUGUCCUCAGCCAGGCACACAUGAUGGACCCAGAAGGCACUGAAAACAUCAGAAACAGCUAAUGAAUGAUGGCGAUCUUACUUCAAAAGGAAAUUUUAUGUAAGCUUUUCUUUCUUUUCCUCCUUACCCAAAAGCAGGCCUUCUUAUCCCUUCACAGGGAUUUUCCAGGGAAGAAGGAGAACAGAGAAGUAAACACACAACUGAGGUCACAGCCUGAUAUGGUUUGGAUUUGCAUCCCCGCCCAAAUCUUAUGUCAAGUUUAAAUCUUCAGUGUUGGAGGAGGGGCCUGGUGGGAGGUGACUGGAUCAUGGGGGUGGAUUUUCCCCUGGCUGUUCCUGAGAUAGUGAGUGAGUUCUCAACAGAUCUGGUUAUUUAAAAGUGUAUAGCAUCUCCUGCUUUGUUCUUCUUGCUCUGGCUCUGGCCAUGUAAGAUGUGUCUGCUUCCCCUUCACCUUUCACCAUGAUUGUGAGUUUCCUGAGUCCUCCCCAGCCAUGCUUUCUGUGUAGCCUGUGGAAACAUGAGUCAAUUAAAC
Molecule: long non-coding RNA, 1363 nt
Organism: Callithrix jacchus (white-tufted-ear marmoset)
Lineage: Eukaryota; Metazoa; Chordata; Mammalia; Primates; Cebidae
Source: Ensembl